GACGAACGCUGGCGGCGUGCUUAACACAUGCAAGUCGAACGGAAAGGCCCUGCUUUUGUGGGGUGCUCGAGUGGCGAACGGGUGAGUAACACGUGAGUAACCUGCCCUUGACUUUGGGAUAACUUCAGGAAACUGGGGCUAAUACCGGAUAGGAGCUCCUGCUGCAUGGUGGGGGUUGGAAAGUUUCGGCGGUUGGGGAUGGACUCGCGGCUUAUCAGCUUGUUGGUGGGGUAGUGGCUUACCAAGGCUUUGACGGGUAGCCGGCCUGAGAGGGUGACCGGCCACAUUGGGCCUGAGAUACGGCCCAGACUCCUACGGGAGGCAGCGGUGGGGAAUAUUGCACAAUGGGCGGAAGCAUGAUGUAGCAACGCCGCGUGCGGGAUGACGGCCUUCGGGUUGUAAACCGCUUUCGCCUGUGACGAAGCGUGAGUGACGGUAAUGGGUAAAGAAGCACCGGCUAACUACGUG
RNAcentral lists this ribosomal RNA (468 nucleotides) under uncultured bacterium. RNAcentral describes it as "partial 16S ribosomal RNA". It matches the Rfam family "Bacterial small subunit ribosomal RNA", at positions 28 to 507 of the family's 1533-position model. The record is from RNAcentral.